AUUACUCCUACGGGAGGCAGCAGUGAGGAAUUUUCCGCAAUGGGCGAAAGCCUGACGGAGCAAUACCGCGUGAGGGAGGAAGGCUCUUGGGUUGUAAACCUCUUUUCUCAAGGAAGAACACAAUGACGGUACUUGAGGAAUCAGCAUCGGCUAACUCCGUGCCAGCAGCCGCGGUAAUAAUC
Molecule: ribosomal RNA, 182 nt
Filed under: uncultured bacterium
Lineage: Bacteria
Description: partial 16S ribosomal RNA
Rfam family: Bacterial small subunit ribosomal RNA
Source: RNAcentral